GAUGAACGCUAGCGGCAGGCCUAACACAUGCAAGUCGAGGGGUAGAGUUAGCUUGCUAACUUGAGACCGGCGCACGGGUGCGUAACGCGUAUGCAAUCUACCUUAUACAGAGGGAUAGCCCAGAGAAAUUUGGAUUAAUACCUCAUAGUAUUAUCGAGUGGCAUCAUUUGAUAAUUAAAGUUCCAACGGUAUAAGAUGAGCAUGCGUCCCAUUAGUUAGUUGGUAAGGUAACGGCUUACCAAGGCUACGAUGUCUAGGGGGUCUGAGAGGAUUAUCCCCCACACUGGUACUGAGACACGGACCAGACUCCUACGGGAGGCAGCAGUGGGGAAUAUUGGACAAUGGGCGAAAGCCUGAUCCAGCCAUGCCGCGUGCAGGAAGACGGCCCUAUGGGUUGUAAACUGCUUUUUAUAUGGGAAUAAACCUCCGAACGUGUUCGGAGCUGAAGGUACCAUACGAAUAAGGAUCGGCUAACUCCGUGCCAGCAGCCGCGGU
This 495-nucleotide ribosomal RNA is filed under the name uncultured bacterium. RNAcentral describes it as "bacterial SSU rRNA". It matches the Rfam family "Bacterial small subunit ribosomal RNA", at positions 28 to 521 of the family's 1533-position model. The record is from RNAcentral.